ACUCUGUAGACGAGGGUUUUUGUGUGGACCAGCAAUGGAUCAACUCAAAAUCACAGAAGCUCCGUUCUACGGGUCU
This 76-nucleotide microRNA precursor is filed under the name Eisenia fetida (common brandling worm). RNAcentral's name for it is "Efe-Mir-10-P4c_pre stem-loop". The record is from RNAcentral. Lineage: Eukaryota; Metazoa; Annelida; Clitellata; Crassiclitellata; Lumbricidae.